AUUGCUUUGCAGCUUAACAGUGGCAGCAACCCUGUGUGUGUUACAAGUGCUGUGAAUCUUCACACCACAGGUGAUGUAGGGGCCGCCGAGUCGCCUAACUCCAUAAGGCACCCGGAAUAUUCUUCCUGCUGGAGUUGUGUGGCAGUGGCCCAUCUGCCUGGCUUGUGUCCGUGGGGAGAAGGCUGUAGAGUUGGCAGAACAGGUGUUGCGCUUCUUGACUUUGGAAGAUAGAGGGUGGCUCUCUGGCUCCCUGAUCCUUUGUGAUCUAGAUGGGUCUUUUGAGCUUUUUGUCUGGAGCACGAUGGUUCUGCAACAAGAAGAUUAGUCUCUUCGGGAAAUGAAUCCGGCAGAGGAGGCAGUUCUGAAUCUCCAACAGGUAGGGUCUCUGGACCAUCUGGAAAAAUUCACUGUUGUAUUUCCACUUUCCAUCAGCCACCACCAGGAAGAGUCUCUCCUGGUUUGGCCUGGCUGGUGCUGGGACACAAGGCUUCUGAACCUCCGUUUCUGCCGUGGAAAGAAAGGGAUGGGAAGAGAGGUGAAGAAAGAAGGAAAAAAGUGUUUAGGUGCAACCUGUUACAAAGGGAAUAAAAUCGAGAGAAAAAGAAGAAAAAGUCAAAUGCAAUGUGAGAGAUGGGAAUGGACAAAAAUCCUGCCACUUCCAGGAUUCCGUCUGGAACUCUGAAGCUAGAGCAGUGGUAACCAUGGAUGAGGUUCAAAGCAUCCUCUUUAGGAGACAGACAAAUCAGGAUGAUGACAUUUGCCGGGCCCUAAGCUACUGGUGGCUGCACAGUGAUUCAUGGAUGUGUCCUCAGGAAGAGCCAUUUCAUCAUCUGGGGCUUCUAUAAAAUUUGAAGUUAAAAAAAUAAAACCGUGUGUGUGUGCGUGUGUGGGUGCGUGUGGCGACAAUCCUCUCUCUCUUCCUUAUUCCAGCAAGAACUGAGACACAAUUGUCAAACUUCUCUCCCCUGCAGUAUAGAUCACUUUGGAUUGUUUCCUUUUGAUAACAUUUUCUCCCUUUCAAAGGUCUCUUUAGUUUGAAGAUAGAAAAUGCACCUGUAACAUGUUGAGAGGGAGAGAGAGAACACUGUGAUUUUUUCCCUGACUUCUACACCCAUUGAAGAAUUUGUGUGAAGGUGGACGUCUGAGACCCCGCUGCAGGAACACAGAUAGGUGAAGUUUGGAUAGUUGCUUUUGCUGGAGAGCCAGGGGAUCACUUCACAGCACUAUGCUUGCAAGGCUAGCCCUCUGAGACUAUUGAUUUUCUCCUGGCUACUUCCCUCUUCUCCUAGUUAUAUGGAACUUUUAAGACAUGUUAGCAAGGCCAUGUUUUUACGUGAUGCAUUUUAUUGAUGAUAGAGUUAAAUUCUACGCGCAGGGCUUAUUCCUGACUACCGAGAGGUAAUUAAUGAUUGUCCAAUCUUGAGAAUUCGCUGUGGCUGCUCACCAAUGGAGUUCGGGGGAAAGGAGGCCAGAAGCCAGGCAACAGGACCCAUAGGCUGUCCAUCUGAAGUUUUCUAGCUAACAAGCCACCUGAAUGAAAAAGCAUCCCAGCCAGGGGAGAAAGGGACCCCAUCUAACCAGUGAACAAUGAGAUGAGAUAGUUCAUUAAUUUGUCUUGGCACUCUAUCAACACACUGCCGCCCAGAUUCAAUACAUGGGAUUUCCCUCCUCAAAAUAAUUCUUGCUCAAUGUUUAGACUUCUUUAGAUCUAUCUGAAGUUUCUGCUUGGAGACAUAAUUUCAUAUAUUUAAGCAAAAUCAACCACUGGGAACCGAUAACAUAAAAAG
Molecule: long non-coding RNA, 1787 nt
Organism: Felis catus (domestic cat)
Lineage: Eukaryota; Metazoa; Chordata; Mammalia; Carnivora; Felidae
Exons: 6
Source: RefSeq, a predicted model, not a curated record